UGAGAAAGUGGGGGGGGGGUGAAGGGGGACGUGAGGAAAGGAGUAAUUAAUGGUGGAGGGCUGGCAUAACAUGCAGUCGACUCCAACCCCGAAGCCGCCUGUUUACACCUUUAAACAAUGACAUGAAUAUUUAAAAACAACGGUUAACCCUUUCCUUCUCGGCCACGUUUUAAUUUUUUCAAACGAGGGCGCCAAGCUGGCCGCAGAGCCGAGGGAGCACGUUUCAGCGGCGGCUACAUGAAUGAGCUGGAGAGGGGAGAACAGUGAGAUUACAGAACUGCACAAACUUCGCUUGGUCUUAGUUGCGGCAUGCAGACUUCUUAGCUGCAGCAAGCAGGCAGCAUCUAGUUCCCUGACCAGGGAUCGAACCCG
Non-coding RNA from Kogia breviceps (pygmy sperm whale), 372 nucleotides. NCBI's taxonomy places the organism in Eukaryota, Metazoa, Chordata, Mammalia, Artiodactyla, Physeteridae. The record is from RefSeq and is a predicted model, not a curated record.